This 441-nucleotide ribosomal RNA is filed under the name uncultured bacterium. Its description in RNAcentral is "bacterial SSU rRNA". It matches the Rfam family "Bacterial small subunit ribosomal RNA", at positions 335 to 762 of the family's 1533-position model. The record is from RNAcentral.
ACUCCUACGGGAGGCAGCAGUGGGGAAUAUUGGACAAUGGGCGAAAGCCUGAUCCAGCCAUGCCGCGUGUGUGAAGAAGGUCUUCGGAUUGUAAAGCACUUUAAAGUUGGGUAGGAAGGGCGAGUAAGUUAAUACCUUGCUGUUUUGUACGUUACCAACAGAAUAAGCACCGGCUAACUUCGUGCCAGCAGCCGCGGUAAUACGAAGGGGUGCAAGCGUUAAUCGGAAUUACUGGGCGUAAAGCGCGCGUAGGUGGUUCAGCAAGUUGGAUGUGAAAUCCCCGGGGCUCAACCUGGGAACUGCAUCCAAAACUACUGAGCUAGAGUACGGUAGAGGGUGGUGGAAUUUCCUGUGUAGCGGUGAAAUGCGUAGAUAUAGGAAGGAACACCAGUGGCGAAGGCGACCACCUGGACUGAUACUGACACUGAGGUGCGAGAGCGU